Molecule: ribosomal RNA, 253 nt
Filed under: uncultured bacterium
Lineage: Bacteria
Description: partial 16S ribosomal RNA
Rfam family: Bacterial small subunit ribosomal RNA
Source: RNAcentral
UACGGAGGGUGCAAGCAUUGAUCGGAAUUACUGGGCGUAAAGGGUGCGUAGGCGGUCUGUUAAGUCGGAUGUGAAAUUCCACAGCUCAACUGUGGAACUGCAUUGGAAACUGGCAGACUGGAGCGUAAUUAGGGAAAACGGAAUUCCACAUGUAGCGGUGAAAUGCGUAGAUAUGUGGAAGAACACCGGUGGUGAAGACGGUUUUCUGGGUUAUUGCUGACGCUGAGGCACGAAAGCUAGGGGAGCAAACAGG